AGGACGAACGCUGGCGGCGUGCUUAACACAUGCAAGUCGAACGGUAAGGCCUUUCGGGGUACACGAGUGGCGAACGGGUGAGUAACACGUGGGUGAUCUGCCCUGCACUUUGGGAUAAGCCUGGGAAACUGGGUCUAAUACCGAAUAUGACCAUUGGUUGCAUGACUGGUGGUGGAAAGCUUUUGCGGUGUGGGAUGGGCCCGCGGCCUAUCAGCUUGUUUGUGGGGUUAAGGCCUACCAAGGCGACGACGGGUAGCCGGCCUGAGAGGGUGUCCGGCCACACUGGGACUGAGAUACGGCCCAGACUCCUACGGGAGGCAGCAGUGGGGAAUAUUGCACAAUGGGCGCAAGCCUGAUGCAGCGACGCCGCGUGAGGGACGACGGCCUUCGGGUUGUAAACCUCUUUCAGUAGGGACGAAGCGCAAGUGACGGUACCUACAGAAGAAGGACCGGCCAACUACGCGCCAGCAGCCGC
Molecule: ribosomal RNA, 475 nt
Filed under: uncultured bacterium
Lineage: Bacteria
Description: SSU rRNA
Rfam family: Bacterial small subunit ribosomal RNA
Source: RNAcentral